CCUUCCGGGGCCCUCUUUUUCCUUCUUUCCUUUUUUUCCCUUUCUCUCCUUCUUCCUUUCCCUUCAGUGGUUAAAUCCUACAGCUUAACUGUAGAACUGCCUUUGAUACUUUCAUUCUUGAGUUCGGGAGAGAGAGACGGAAUUCCAGGUGUAGUGGUGAAAUACGUAGAUAUCUGGAAGAACACCAGUUGCGAAGGCGGUCUCUUGGUCCGAUACUGACGCUGAGGCGCAAAAGCGUGGGGAGCAAACAG
Molecule: ribosomal RNA, 251 nt
Filed under: uncultured prokaryote
Description: partial 16S ribosomal RNA
Rfam family: Bacterial small subunit ribosomal RNA (bases 53-251)
Source: RNAcentral